This 265-nucleotide ribosomal RNA is filed under the name uncultured bacterium. RNAcentral's name for it is "partial 16S ribosomal RNA". It matches the Rfam family "Bacterial small subunit ribosomal RNA", at positions 793 to 1055 of the family's 1533-position model. The record is from RNAcentral.
GUCCACGCCGUAAACGAUGAUAACUAGCUGUCCGGGGACUUGGUCUUUGGGUGGCGCAGCUAACGCAUUAAGUUAUCCGCCUGGGGGAGUACGGCCGCAAGGUUAAAACUCAAAUGAAUUGACGGGGGCCUGCACAAGCGGUGGAGCAUGUGGUUUAAUUCGAAGCAACGCGCAGAACCUUACCAGCGUUUGACAUGGCAGGACGACUUCCGGAGACGGAUUUCUCCCUUCGGGGACCUGCACACAGGUGCUGCAUGGCUGUCGU